This 468-nucleotide ribosomal RNA is filed under the name uncultured bacterium. Its description in RNAcentral is "partial 16S ribosomal RNA". It matches the Rfam family "Bacterial small subunit ribosomal RNA", at positions 28 to 507 of the family's 1533-position model. The record is from RNAcentral.
GACGAACGCUGGCGGCGUGCUUAACACAUGCAAGUCGAACGGAAAGUCUCUGUUUUUGUGGGGUUCUCGAGUGGCGAACGGGGGAGUAACACGAGAGUAACCUGCCCUUGACUUUGGGAUAACUUCAGGAAACUGGGGCUAAUACCGGAUAGGAGCUCCUGCUGCAUGGUGGUGGUUGGAAAGUUGCGGCGGUUUGGGAUGGACUCGAGGGUUAUCAGCUUGUUGGUGGGGUAGUGGCUUACCAAGGCGUUGACGGGUAGCCGGCCUGAGAGGGUGACCGGCCACAUUGGGACUGAGAUACGGACCAGAAUCGUACGGGAGGCAGCAGUGGAGAAUAUUGCACAAUGGGCGGAAGCGUGAUGCAGCAACGCCGCGUGCGGGAUGCCGGGCUUCGGGUUGUAAAACGCUUUCGCCUGUGACGAAGCGUGAGUGACGGUAAUGAGUCAAGAAGCACCGGCUAACUACGUG